AUUGAACGCUGGCGGCAUGCUUUACACAUGCAAGUCGAACGGUAACAGGCCGCAAGGUGCUGACGAGUGGCGAACGGGUGAGUAAUGCAUCGGAACGUGCCCAGUCGUGGGGGAUAACUACUCGAAAGAGUAGCUAAUACCGCAUACGAUCUAUGGAUGAAAGCGGGGGACCGUAAGGCCUCGCGCGAUUGGAGCGGCCGAUGUCAGAUUAGGUAGUUGGUGGGGUAAAGGCUCACCAAGCCAACGAUCUGUAGCUGGUCUGAGAGGACGACCAGCCACACUGGGACUGAGACACGGCCCAGACUCCUACGGGAGGCAGCAGUGGAGAAUUUUGGACAAUGGGCGCAAGCCUGAUCCAGCAAUGCCGCGUGCAGGAAGAAGGCCUUCGGGUUGUAAACUGCUUUUGUACGGAACGAAACGGCUCUGGUUAAUACCCGGGGCUAAUGACGGUACCGUAAGAAUAAGCACCGGCUAACUACGUG
RNAcentral lists this ribosomal RNA (482 nucleotides) under uncultured bacterium. RNAcentral's name for it is "partial 16S ribosomal RNA". It matches the Rfam family "Bacterial small subunit ribosomal RNA", at positions 30 to 507 of the family's 1533-position model. The record is from RNAcentral.